GACGAACGCUGGCGGCGUGCUUAACACAUGCAAGUCGAACGGAAAGGCCCUGCUUUUGUGGGGUGCUCGAGUGGCGAACGGGUGAGUAACACGUGAGUAACCUGCCCUUGACUUUGGGAUAACUUCAGGAAACUGGGGCUAAUACCGGAUAGGAGCUCCUGCUGCAUGGUGGGGGUUGGAAAGUUUCGGCGGUUGGGGAUGGACUCGCGGCUUAUCAGCUUGUUGGUGGGGUAGUGGCUUACCAAGGCUUUGACGGGUAGCCGGCCUGAGAGGGUGACCGGCAACAUUGGGACUGAGAUACGGCCCAGACUCCUACGGGAGGCAGCAGUGGGGAAUAUUGCACAAUGGGCGGAAGCCUGAUGCAGCAACGCCGCGUGCGGGAUGACGGCCUUCGGGUUGUAAACCGCUUUCGCCUGUGACGAAGCGUAAGUGACGGUAAUGGGUAAAGAAGCACCGGCUAACUACGUG
RNAcentral lists this ribosomal RNA (468 nucleotides) under uncultured bacterium. RNAcentral's name for it is "partial 16S ribosomal RNA". It matches the Rfam family "Bacterial small subunit ribosomal RNA", at positions 28 to 507 of the family's 1533-position model. The record is from RNAcentral.